RNAcentral lists this ribosomal RNA (850 nucleotides) under uncultured bacterium. RNAcentral's name for it is "bacterial SSU rRNA". It matches the Rfam family "Bacterial small subunit ribosomal RNA", at positions 48 to 898 of the family's 1533-position model. The record is from RNAcentral.
CGGCUAUCUGCAGUCGAGGGGCAGCACAGGUAGCAAUACUGGGUGGCGACCGGCAAACGGGUGCGGAACACGUACGUAACCUUCCUUUAAGUGGGAGAUAGCCCGAAGAAAUUCGGAUUAAUACCCCAUAAGAUUGUGGAGUGGCAUCACUCAGCAAUUAAAGAAAUUCGCUUAAAGAUGGGCGUGCGGCUGAUUAGGUAGUUGGUGAGGUAACGGCUCACCAAGCCAACGAUCAGUAACUGGCGUGAGAGCGCGACCAGUCACACGGGCACUGAGACACGGGCCCGACUCCUACGGGAGGCAGCAGUAAGGAAUAUUGGUCAAUGGACGGAAGUCUGAACCAGCCAUGCCGCGUGAAGGAUGAAGGUCCUCUGGAUUGUAAACUUCUUUUAUAUGGGAAGAAACCACUUUUUUCUAAAGGUGUUGACGGUACCAUAGGAAUAAGCACCGGCUAACUCCGUGCCAGCAGCCGCGGUAAUACGGAGGGUGCAAGCGUUAUCCGGAUUCACUGGGUUUAAAGGGUGCGUAGGCGGAUUAGUAAGUCCGUGGUGAAAUCUCCGAGCUUAACUCGGAAACUGCCGUGGAUACUAUUAAUCUUGAAUACUGUGGAGGUUAGCGGAAUAUGUCAUGUAGCGGUGAAAUGCAUAGAUAUGACAUAGAACACCAAUUGCGAAGGCAGCUGGCUACACAGAGAUUGACGCUGAGGCACGAAAGCGUGGGGAUCAAACAGGAUUAGAUACCCUGGUAGUCCACGCCCUAAACGAUGAUUACUCGACAUUUGCGAUAUACAGUAAGUGUCUGAGCGAAAGCAUUAAGUAAUCCACCUGGGAAGUACGACCGCAAGGUUGAA